AUACGUAUGUCGCAAGCGUUAUCCGGAUUUAUUGGGCGUAAAGCGCGUCUAGGCGGCUUAGUAAGUCUGAUGUGAAAAUGCGGGGCUCAACCCCGUAUUGCGUUGGAAACUGCUAAACUAGAGUACUGGAGAGGUAGGCGGAACUACAAGUGUAGAGGUGAAAUUCGUAGAUAUUUGUAGGAAUGCCGAUGGGGAAGCCAGCCUACUGGACAGAUACUGACGCUAAAGCGCGAAAGCGUGGGUAGCAAACAGGAUUAGAUACCCUGGUAGUCCACGCCGUAAACGAUGAUUACUAGGUGUUGGGGGUCGAACCUCAGCGCCCAAGCUAACGCGAUAAGUAAUCCGCCUGGGGAGUACGUACGCAAGUAUGAAACUCAAAGGAAUGGGCGGGG
This 392-nucleotide ribosomal RNA is filed under the name uncultured bacterium. Its description in RNAcentral is "partial 16S ribosomal RNA". It matches the Rfam family "Bacterial small subunit ribosomal RNA", at positions 523 to 918 of the family's 1533-position model. The record is from RNAcentral.